AAUUACCCACUCCCAGCACGGGGAGGUAGUGACGAAAAAUAACGAUACGGGACUCAUCCGAGGCCCCGUAAUCGGAAUGAGUACACUUUAAAACUUUUCCCGAGGAUCAAUUGGAGGGUAAGUCUGGUGCCAGCAGCCGCGGUAAUUCCAGCUCCAAUAGCGUAUAUUAAAGUUGUUGCGGUUAAAAAGCUCGUAGUCGAAUCUGUGUCCCGUGCCGCUGGUUCAUCGCUCGCGGUGUUCAACUGGCGUGUCUCGCGGGACGUCCUGCCGGUGGGCGCUCGUACCGUUUCGACGGUGCGUGGCCCAACUCGUAGCCGUCUCGCGCGGUUGCGAAUCCCAUCGCGGUGCUCUUUAUUGAGUGUCGAGGUGGGCCGGCACGUUUACUUUGAACAAAUUAGAGUGCUUAAAGCAGGCCAAUUUUGCCUGAAUAUUGUGUGCAUGGAAUAAUGGAAUAGGACCUCGGUUCUAUUUUGUUGGUUUUCGGAACCCCGAGGUAAUGAUUAAUAGGAACGGAUGGGGGCAUUCGUAUUGCGACGUUAGAGGUGAAAUUCUUGGAUCGUCGCAAGACGGACAGAAGCGAAAGCAUUUGCCAAAAACGUUUUCAUUGAUCAAGAACGAAAGUUAGAGGUUCGAAGGCGAUCAGAUACCGCCCUAGUUCUAACCAUAAACGAUGCCAGCUAGCGAUCCGCCGACGUUCCUCCGAUGACUCGGCGGGCAGCUUCCGGGAAACCAAAGCUUUUGGGUUCCGGGGGAAGUAUGGUUGCAAAGCUGAAACUUAAAGGAAUUGACGGAAGGGCACCACCAGGAGUGGAGCCUGCGGCUUAAUUUGACUCAACACGGGACACCUCACCAGGCCCGGACACCGGAAGGAUUGACAGAUUGAGAGCUCUUUCUUGAUUCGGUGGGUGGUGGUGCAUGGCCGUUCUUAGUU
This 931-nucleotide ribosomal RNA is filed under the name Trichiusa ursina. RNAcentral's name for it is "SSU rRNA". It matches the Rfam family "Eukaryotic small subunit ribosomal RNA", at positions 439 to 1299 of the family's 1831-position model. Lineage: Eukaryota; Metazoa; Arthropoda; Insecta; Coleoptera; Staphylinidae. The record is from RNAcentral.